UCCUUGAUGGCUCAGAUGGUAAAAGCGUCUGCCUACAAAGCGGGAGACUUGGGUUCAAUCCCUGGGUCAGGAA
Transfer RNA from Ovis aries (sheep), 73 nucleotides. It matches the Rfam family "tRNA". Rfam says of the family: Transfer RNA (tRNA) molecules are approximately 80 nucleotides in length. Their secondary structure includes four short double-helical elements and three loops (D, anti-codon, and T loops). Lineage: Eukaryota; Metazoa; Chordata; Mammalia; Artiodactyla; Bovidae. The record is from Rfam.